CCAGCUGCUCAACGCGAUUUCCCUUCGCGCUUCUCCGCACCGGGAUCCCCAGUCCCUCAGGUUCCGACAGACCCUCCUGUCAGGCCCAUUCUCCGGGCCCCCUCAGUUGCAGUGUUAAGAUCAACAGUGUUAAGAUUAAAGCCUUGUGAUGUGCUAGCCACUACGCUGAGGAUAUGCCGUGUACUAAAAUUCCUCAGGACUCCUCACAGCUGCCCUGUAAGGAAGCGGCCAUGGCCGGGUUCUAGCGAUGCGAGGCCGAGGCUCGGGGCGCUGAGUAGCCUAGCGCGUCGCCGAGGAGAGCUGGCACGUGAACCCCUUGUCGUUUGCCGUCAGAGGUGUUAUGUGGUGGCCCUCAUUCUCCAUGCAUGGAGCAGACUCUAGGAUCUGCAGUUACUGUAUGAUGAGCCCUUCUGAGUAUUUUGCUUGGGUGGACAGUUUAUGUGUCAGGUAUGUGUAUUUAUAAUUAAAAUCAAAUAUUAUUACAUAGGCUUUGCACCUGGCGAGGUAACAUUGAGAGUAGUUAAUCUCUAGACUGGAAUCCAUCUGGAAGACCACUCAAUAACUUGUGAUUAGCUGGACCUGGUGAUGCAAGCCUGGAGUCCCAGUUACCCGGAGGCUGAGGUGGGAAUAUCGCUUGAGACCAGGAGUUUGAGGCUACAGUGAGCUGUGAUUGUACCACUGCACUCCAGCCUGGGUGACAGUGCAAGACCUCAUCUCUUAAAAAAAACAAACAACUCAAAAAACCUCAUCAUUGAGCACCUAUGAUGUGCCAGCAACUGUACUCAGUGGUGGGGACUUGACGACAAACAAACCAGGGAUGGGAUCCUUGAGCAGUCACCAUCUGACAAGUGACUGGGAAAGAUGAAUAAUGCCCUUCACCAAGAUUCUUCUCUGAUCCACAAAUUCAAUUACCAAUUUAUUUGUUCACUGCUCUUAAACUUAAAUAUUUUUUAGUAGGUAAUAAAGACAUGUUUAAACACUCUUAA
Molecule: long non-coding RNA, 986 nt
Filed under: Homo sapiens (human)
Lineage: Eukaryota; Metazoa; Chordata; Mammalia; Primates; Hominidae
Description: HSALNT0392884
Source: RNAcentral